RNAcentral lists this ribosomal RNA (497 nucleotides) under uncultured bacterium. RNAcentral describes it as "partial 16S ribosomal RNA". It matches the Rfam family "Bacterial small subunit ribosomal RNA", at positions 28 to 507 of the family's 1533-position model. The record is from RNAcentral.
GAUGAACGCUGGCGGCGUGCCUAAUACAUGCAAGUCGAGCGAACGGACGAGAAGCUUGCUUCUCUGAUGUUAGCGGCGGACGGGUGAGUAACACGUGGAUAACCUACCUAUAAGACUGGGAUAACUUCGGGAAACCGGAGCUAAUACCGGAUAAUAUUUCGAACCGCAUGGUUCAAAAGUGAAAGACGGUCUUGCUGUCACUUAUAGAUGGAUCCGCGCUGCAUUAGCUAGUUGGUAAGGUAACGGCUUACCAAGGCAACGAUGCAUAGCCGACCUGAGAGGGUGAUCGGCCACACUGGAACUGAGAGACGGGCCAGACUCCUACGGGAGGCAGCAGUAUGGAAUCUUCCGCAAUGGGCGAAAGCCUGACGGAGCAACGCCGCGUGAGUGAUGAAGGUCUUCGGAUCGUAAAACUCUGUUAUUAGGGAAGAACAUAUGUGUAAGUAACUGUGCACAUCUUGACGGUACCUAAUCAGAAAGCCACGGCUAACUACGUG